AAAUGAUGGUUGGAUGAAAAAUUUACUUUCUUUAUUUUAAAAUUAAAAUUUAAUUUUUUAGUUAAAAAGCUAAAAUUUGUUUGCAGGACGAGAAGACCCUAUAGAGCUUCACUCCUCUUUCCUUAUUAUUUACUUGUAAAUAAUUUUUUAUUAGGGAAAGAGGAGUUUUAUUGGGGUGAUAAAAAAAAAUUUUUAACUUUUUUUCUUUUUACCAUUUAUUUAUGGUUAUUUUUUGAUCCUUUAAUUAUGGAUAAUAAGAUUAAGCUACCUUAGGGAUAACAGCGUUAUUAUUUUAGAGAGUUCAUAUUGAUGAAAUAGUUUGCCACCUCG
RNAcentral lists this ribosomal RNA (330 nucleotides) under Europiella artemisiae. Its description in RNAcentral is "partial 16S ribosomal RNA". The stretch from base 56 to 330 matches the Rfam family "Bacterial large subunit ribosomal RNA", at positions 2048 to 2528 of the family's 2925-position model. Lineage: Eukaryota; Metazoa; Arthropoda; Insecta; Hemiptera; Miridae. The record is from RNAcentral.